GGGGGUAUGGCGGAAUUGGUAGACGCUACGGACUUAAAAAAUAAA
RNAcentral lists this transfer RNA (45 nucleotides) under Redfearnia baii. RNAcentral describes it as "partial tRNA-Leu". Lineage: Eukaryota; Viridiplantae; Streptophyta; Bryopsida; Hypnales; Plagiotheciaceae. The record is from RNAcentral.